RNAcentral lists this transfer RNA (82 nucleotides) under Mycobacterium sp. GA-1285. RNAcentral's name for it is "tRNA-Leu". It matches the Rfam family "tRNA". Rfam says of the family: Transfer RNA (tRNA) molecules are approximately 80 nucleotides in length. Their secondary structure includes four short double-helical elements and three loops (D, anti-codon, and T loops). The record is from RNAcentral. RNAcentral also lists the same sequence under 3 other names. Lineage: Bacteria; Bacillati; Actinomycetota; Actinomycetes; Mycobacteriales; Mycobacteriaceae.
GCGCGAGUGGCGGAAUGGAAGACGCGAUGGUUUUAGGUGCCAUUGUCCUUUGGACGUGGGGGUUCGAGUCCCCCCUCGCGCA